This 21-nucleotide microRNA is filed under the name Cordylochernes scorpioides. The record is from RNAcentral. Lineage: Eukaryota; Metazoa; Arthropoda; Arachnida; Pseudoscorpiones; Chernetidae.
CAGAUCUAUCUCUUCCAGCUU